GGGGUUGUAGUCUAGCCUGGUAGGAUUCACCCUUGGGGUGGGUGCGACGGGAGUUCAAAUCUUCCCAACCCCA
RNAcentral lists this transfer RNA (73 nucleotides) under Candidatus Woesearchaeota archaeon. RNAcentral describes it as "tRNA-Pro". It matches the Rfam family "tRNA". From Rfam's summary of the family: Transfer RNA (tRNA) molecules are approximately 80 nucleotides in length. The record is from RNAcentral. Lineage: Archaea; Nanobdellati; Candidatus Woesearchaeota.